GGAAUCUUCCACAAUGGACGAAAGUCUGAUGGAGCAACGCCGCGUGAGUGAAGAAGGUUUUCGGAUCGUAAAGCUCUGUUGUUGGUGAAGAAGGAUAGAGGCAGUAACUGGUCUUUAUUUGACGGUAAUCAACCAGAAAGUCACGGCUAACCACGUGCCAG
This 161-nucleotide ribosomal RNA is filed under the name uncultured bacterium. RNAcentral's name for it is "partial 16S rRNA". It matches the Rfam family "Bacterial small subunit ribosomal RNA", at positions 358 to 511 of the family's 1533-position model. The record is from RNAcentral.